UACGUAGGGACCAAGCGUUGUUCGGAUUUACUGGGCGUAAAGGGCGCGUAGGCGGCAAUUCAAGUCAGCUGUGAAAUCUCCGAGCUUAACUCGGAACGGUCAGCUGAUACUGUUUUGCUAGAGUGCAGAAAGGGCAACCGGAAUUCUUGGUGUAGCGGUGAAAUGCGUAGAUAUCAAGAGGAACACCUGAGGCGAAGGCGGGUUGCUAGGCUGACACUGACGCUGAGGUGCGAAAGCUAGGGUAGCAAACGGG
This 253-nucleotide ribosomal RNA is filed under the name uncultured bacterium. RNAcentral's name for it is "partial 16S ribosomal RNA". It matches the Rfam family "Bacterial small subunit ribosomal RNA", at positions 524 to 776 of the family's 1533-position model. The record is from RNAcentral.